This is a long non-coding RNA of Bos taurus (domestic cattle), 1381 nucleotides long. Lineage: Eukaryota; Metazoa; Chordata; Mammalia; Artiodactyla; Bovidae. The record is from Ensembl.
CUAGCCACCGGGAAGGAAGUGCAAAGGAGGAGUUACAAGUGGCACUCACAGACUCCAGAAGGCCAUGUCUCGUCUCCAGUUGAGUCAUGAAAUACAAAUGAAUAGCAUCGGGACCUAACAGUGCUGUAUGGACAGUUCUAGACACUCCACCAGGCAAGAAGAGGGCAGACAGCUGUUGUAAAGACCCAGCCAUGCGGUGAUGAAGAGUGUGACCAGUCUUAUCUCUCUGUGGAGGAAGAUGAAAGAGAAGUCAGUUGAUCCUUCGUGACAUGAAAAAAUCACAUCAACCAUCUCCUCUCUAGCCCUUUUGAGUGGAAGAUUUUUGGAAUGUCUACCACGUUAUUCAGAUGUUUUGGCUCUCCAUGGCAUGAAGAUUCCAUACUCUACCAAGAGUCUGUGCUUUAAAAAUGCUUACUCUGUCUUCUGUGACCUUGAUCCUUCCUUUGUGGGGAAUGAGAUGCUGAGGCUGAGAUCUUGUUUGUUGCCUACUUGCCUCAUUAAAAAGCCUGUUAGCAUUUUGGGGAGGACCAGGCACCAGAUCAGGGCCUGGGACUUAUGGCUUUUUAUUGUGGCUUGGUUAGGGGGCUAUGUGAAUCUAAAGUCUCGUCAUGUCUCUGCUGUGACUGCUUGAAUGGUGUCUGGGAAUGGGAUAUGUGACGAGGAACACAAUGGAGCUGUCCACACAAUCUAGGCAGAGACAGCUAUAGGGUCUGUAUGUUCUUGCACACGCUGGAGCAUUUUUUGUUCUCUUCAGAUUUGUCUAAGUGUAAAUGUCUCCUUUUCUCUCUUUCUCAAGUUAGUUCUUGUUGCUUUCUGUGGACCAGGAUGCUCUUGGUGGAGGUUGUCACUGACUACAUAGGAUGAGGGUGACAGUCCUUGGUGAUCCCACAAAGGACUGUCACCUCUAGUACAACCACAAUGAUGUGGGUGUGCGAAUAUGGAUUUCACUCCAGGAAACUUGUCUGUUUUAUGGCAGAUAUUGCCACAACACCCUUCUCCCUAGUUAUUUUCCAGUUAGAGGUUUCCCUGUGACAAUAUUAUGACCAGUGAGACGUAAGUGGAAGUCUGUUGGAUGCAGUUUUUGGCAAAACUUUUGCUUUCCUUGUAUAAAGAGAGAAGGGCUUCUUAACUGACCACCAUCUCCUUGAGUGGAAUGUAGAUGAAACAACCGGAGGUGCUGCAGCUCUCUUGCAAUUAUGAGAUGACAAGCAGCAGGAAAGAAGCCAACAGACUAAAUAGGUGAAACAAAUAUACUGAUUAGGAAACUGAAGCCAGAGUGGCUAAAUGACUUGCUUAAAAUCAACUAAACAAGUCCUCUGACUUCAAGUCCUGAGUUCAUUCUUUGUAUGUUGUUAGCAAAUCAAAAGGCAAUACGUCUUAU